Molecule: long non-coding RNA, 473 nt
Filed under: Chinchilla lanigera (long-tailed chinchilla)
Lineage: Eukaryota; Metazoa; Chordata; Mammalia; Rodentia; Chinchillidae
Description: lncRNA (ENSCLAG00000025017.1)
Source: RNAcentral
GGACUCUGUGCGCAGGCGCCGUGCUGCGGCCUGGGAGCCGGCGCGGGGCUGUGCGCUUGCGCGUUGGGGUCCUGGCGUUGCGGCUUCGCCCUGACGUCCAGGUUUCGCACGUCUUCGUCUUCCUGCAGUGUCUUGCAGCCCAGGAGCUUUGGCCCGGGGAGGAGUCAGGCUGCAGGGCUGGUGCCGUCGACGGGCCGGAGGGGCUGAGCCCCUGCUGUUCACGUCGACGGAAGGCGGAACACGCGGACGGGCAGCCCAGCACCGCCGCGGGGCCGCCUCCUGCUCAGAGGGGUGCAGCGUGCUGGCCGCAGGAGUGCACGUCACCAGCUCCCCGAGUGGUCCCCAGCCUGCCAGAGCUCGGGGUUCUGCAGGCAGGGCGUCCUGCGCGAAGGGUGUCACCCGUGGUGGAGAAGCUGUCUGCAGUGAAAGUUCUCUGCUCAGUUAUAAAUAGGAAUCAGGCAUGCCGCGUGUGA